UACCUGGUUGAUCCUGCCAGUAGUCAUAUGCUUGUCUCAAGAUUAAGCCAUGCAUGUGUAAGUAUGAACUAAUUCAGACUGUGAAACUGGCGAAUGGCUCAUUAAAUCAGUUAUAGUUUUGUUUGAUGGUACCUACUACUCGGAUAACCGUAGUAAUUCUAGAG
RNAcentral lists this non-coding RNA (164 nucleotides) under Ipomoea nil (Japanese morning glory). RNAcentral's name for it is "Eukaryotic small subunit ribosomal RNA". It matches the Rfam family "Eukaryotic small subunit ribosomal RNA", at positions 1 to 163 of the family's 1831-position model. Lineage: Eukaryota; Viridiplantae; Streptophyta; Magnoliopsida; Solanales; Convolvulaceae. The record is from Rfam by way of RNAcentral.